This is a long non-coding RNA of Alligator sinensis (Chinese alligator), 676 nucleotides long. RefSeq lists it as uncharacterized. The record is from RefSeq and is a predicted model, not a curated record. The transcript is spliced from 4 exons. NCBI's taxonomy places the organism in Eukaryota, Metazoa, Chordata, Crocodylia, Alligatoridae.
UCCUCAUGUGGAAUUUAAAUCACUAUAUUGCUAUUUAGGACUAUAUUUAAGACACCUGUGCUACUCUGGCACCUUAAAAAGCAUUGAAAGAAUUUAGUCAGUAGAUUUAAUAGGGUUAUACCAAAGAUUUUCAUGGUAAGGAAGAAGAGGGUUAUAAAAAGUUUAGACGAAAGAGAAUUAUGAAGGUAAAGAAGCCCAUCUAAAGGAAAUCAAGGACACACUAAUAAAGAGAAGGCUUUGUUAGUAGACAAAGCGAAAGAGAGGAGAGGCCCUCUGGCACUAAUACUGCUUCUAUGUAACUGAUUCUCAUGAGAAAAGGAGAAAACCACGGUCUCAGAAGUGCUAACAUAAGAAACCUCCACUUCCCUUUCAAGAAAAGAACUCAAAGGAAACCUCUCUGAGAUGGCAAGGAGGAAAUGCAAACUAACAUACAGUAGAAGAAAUUCAGAAGAAGUCUCCCUUGUAGCCAAGACACUUCUCAUGUCCAUUUCUUGUGGAAGAUCACCAGUCAUUUAAAAGCAUUACUGAAUUAUGUAAGAUUUUGUUGAAGUUUUAUGUACAUGGACAGUAGAUGCACUGAAAAAAGAAUGGAUGCAAAAUACCUUUGGUACAAUAUCACGGAUUGUGAGCAGGAUUUGAUUUGGAGUAACACGCUUUCCUGGUAUGUGGAGGAAAG